GAGCAACAAGAGGGCAAUGCCCCUGAGCAACAAGAGGGCAAUGCGCCUGAGAAACAACUUGUCGUGCAACAAGAAGAAAUAUAUUGGCGAGGUAUAUGUAAAUGUAAACAUAUAUAAUUAAUGCAUCUCUUACGUACAUUAGGUUUUAGACUUAUUACUUGGUUAUUAAUUUAGUAUUUUUGUUUCUAUAUCUACGUGU
Molecule: long non-coding RNA, 199 nt
Filed under: Sorghum bicolor (sorghum)
Lineage: Eukaryota; Viridiplantae; Streptophyta; Magnoliopsida; Poales; Poaceae
Description: long non-coding RNA (SBIC_LNC011777)
Source: RNAcentral